RNAcentral lists this long non-coding RNA (524 nucleotides) under Homo sapiens (human). RNAcentral describes it as "HSALNT0397221". Lineage: Eukaryota; Metazoa; Chordata; Mammalia; Primates; Hominidae. The record is from RNAcentral.
AAAAAUUGUCCGUGAAAGUGCAAUUAUGCAGAAAGGCAGAAAAAGGCCAGACAGAGUGGAAACCGUGUUGGAAGGCAAAGACUUAUUGCAGGAAUACUGUAUGUUUGGCUCAAAGCUAGGUCCUGGAAACAAUCUGAAAAAAAUCCUCUACAUCCUGAGAUGUCUGCUGUCUAAAUCUUGGGGCUUGCAGAGUGGGUUCACUCUUCCGCUCUUCUGCCAUGUGAGGAUGCAGUAAGAUGACCCUCAGCAGAUGCUGGUGCCUUGAUCUUGGACUUCCCAGUCUCCAGAACUGGGAUGAAAUGCUGUGAUGGGUUGCACGCCCACAUCACCACUCUGCUGUCGGGAGAAGAGGAAGGCACGUUCCUCCCAAACACAGGGACUGAAAGCAGUUCUGAAGGCUGAAGUCCAAGACCAGGGUGGCAGCAUGGUCAGGUCCUGGCGAGGGCCAUUUUCCGAUGAGAAAACUGAAGCUCAGAGACAGAAAACGAGGUCUUCAGACUCCAGGUCCAGAGUGUCAUCCCCCA